RNAcentral lists this ribosomal RNA (252 nucleotides) under uncultured prokaryote. RNAcentral describes it as "partial 16S rRNA". It matches the Rfam family "Archaeal small subunit ribosomal RNA", at positions 475 to 726 of the family's 1478-position model. The record is from RNAcentral.
ACCGGCGGCUCGAGUGGUGGCCACUAUUACUGGGCUUAAAGCGUUCGUAGCCGGCUUGUUAAGUCUCUGGUGAAAUCUCCCGGCUUAACUGGGAGACUUCUUUGGGAUACUGGCAGGCUAGGGGUCGGAAGAGGUGAGAGGUACUCCCGGGGUAGGAGUGAAAUCCUGUAAUCCUUGGAGGACCACCUGUGGCGAAGGCGUCUCACCGGAACGGCUCCGACAGUGAGGAACGAAAGCUAGGGGAGCAAACCG